RNAcentral lists this ribosomal RNA (254 nucleotides) under uncultured bacterium. RNAcentral's name for it is "partial 16S ribosomal RNA". It matches the Rfam family "Bacterial small subunit ribosomal RNA", at positions 524 to 776 of the family's 1533-position model. The record is from RNAcentral.
UACGGGGGGAGCAAACGUUGUUCGGAAUCACUGGGCGUAAAGGGCGUGUAGGCGGCCACCGCAAGUCGACUGUGAAAUCUCCGGGCUUAACCCGGAAAGGUCAGCCGAUACUGCGGGGCUAGAGUGCAGAAGGGGCAACUGGAAUUCUCGGUGUAGCGGUGAAAUGCGUAGAUAUCGAGAGGAACACCUGCGGCGAAGGCGGGUUGCUGGGCUGACACUGACGCUGAUGUGCGAAAGCUAGGGGAGCGAACGGG